GUACUCGCUUCAGCAGCACAUAUACUAAAAUUGGAACGAUACAGAGAAGAUGUACAUGGCCCUUGUGCAAGGAUAACACACAAAUUCGUGAAGCGUUCCAUAUUAAA
This 107-nucleotide small nuclear RNA is filed under the name Peromyscus maniculatus bairdii (prairie deer mouse). Lineage: Eukaryota; Metazoa; Chordata; Mammalia; Rodentia; Cricetidae. The record is from RNAcentral.